Molecule: long non-coding RNA, 269 nt
Filed under: Nicotiana benthamiana
Lineage: Eukaryota; Viridiplantae; Streptophyta; Magnoliopsida; Solanales; Solanaceae
Description: long non-coding RNA (NBEN_LNC029207)
Source: RNAcentral
UUGUAUAACCCGAAUGCAUGUUAUGCAGUGGCCCCAAUUUCCAUUUUAGGUGAAGUAGCAGUUGGUCCAUCGAUCUACGAAGAAUGCAUUGAACAUAGUCAUGGAUAUCGUCAAGCAAUCCAACAAAGGAAGAACUCAUAAUAAUCAUAUAUCUUCUUGGCCUUUGGUUUUGGUGGGUAGUAAAGGAGAUGGCCUACAAAAUGAAGUUUUGCUUGAUUGGCCAUAUUUCUAUGUCACCAUUAAUUAUAUGGAGUGCUAUUUGUGGUGCC